GAUGAACGCUGGCGGCGUGCUUAACACAUGCAAGUCGAACGAUGAAGCCCAGCUUGCUGGGUGGAUUAGUGGCGAACGGGUGAGUAACACGUGAGUAACCUGCCCUUAACUCUGGGAUAAGCCUGGGAAACUGGGUCUAAUACCGGAUAGGAGCGCCUACCGCCUGGUGGGUGUUGGAAAGAUUUAUCGGUUUUGGAUGGACUCGCGGCCUAUCAGCUUGUUGGUGAGGUAAUGGCUCACCAAGGCGACGACGGGUAGCCGGCCUGAGAGGGUGACCGGCCACACUGGAACUGAGCCACGGCCCAGACUCCUACGGGAGGCAGCAGUGGGGAAUAUUGCACAAUGGACGAAAGCCUGAUGCAGCGACGCCGCGUGAGGGAUGACGGCCUUCGGGUUGUAAACCUCUUUCAGUAGGGAAGAAGCGAAAGUGACGGUACCUGAAGAAGAAGCACCGGCUAACUACGUG
Molecule: ribosomal RNA, 466 nt
Filed under: uncultured bacterium
Lineage: Bacteria
Description: partial 16S ribosomal RNA
Rfam family: Bacterial small subunit ribosomal RNA
Source: RNAcentral